This 253-nucleotide ribosomal RNA is filed under the name uncultured bacterium. RNAcentral describes it as "partial 16S ribosomal RNA". It matches the Rfam family "Bacterial small subunit ribosomal RNA", at positions 524 to 776 of the family's 1533-position model. The record is from RNAcentral.
UACGAAGGGGGCUAGCGUUGCUCGGAAUCACUGGGCGUAAAGCGCACGUAGGCGGAUUGUUAAGUCAGGGGUGAAAUCCUGGAGCUCAACUCCAGAGCUGCCUUUGAUACUGGCGAUCUCGAGUCCGGGAGAGGUGAGUGGAACUGCGAGUGUAGAGGUGAAAUUCGUAGAUAUCGAGAGGAACACCGGUGGCGAAAGCGGCGUACUGGGUCUUUUCUGACGCUGAGGCACGAAAGCUAGGGUAGCGAACGGG